This 72-nucleotide transfer RNA is filed under the name Phrynosoma platyrhinos (Desert horned lizard). Its description in RNAcentral is "tRNA-OTHER". The record is from RNAcentral. Lineage: Eukaryota; Metazoa; Chordata; Lepidosauria; Squamata; Phrynosomatidae.
AACAGCGUGGCCUAGUGGUUUGAGUGCUGGACUACAGCUUUGGAGACCAGGGUUCGAUUCCCAGCCCAGCCA